AGUGAACGCUGGCGGUAGGCCUAACACAUGCAAGUUGAACGGCAGCACAGUAAGAGCUUGCUCUUACGGGUGGCGAGUGGCGGACGGGUGAGGAAUACAUCGGAAUCUACUUUUUCGUGGGGGAUAACGUAGGGAAACUUACGCUAAUACCGCAUACGACCUACGGGUGAAAGCAGGGGAUCUUCGGACCUUGCGCGAUUGAAUGAGCCGAUGUCGGAUUAGCUAGUUGGCGGGGUAAAGGCCCACCAAGGCGACGAUCCGUAGCUGGUCUGAGAGGAUGAUCAGCCACACUGGAACUGAAACACGGUCCAGACUCCUACGGGAGGCAGCAGUGGGGAAUAUUGGACAAUGGGCGCAAGCCUGAUCCAGCCAUACCGCGUGGGUGAAGAAGGCCUUCGGGUUGUAAAGCCCUUUUGUUGGGAAAGAAAAGCAGCAGGUUAAUACCCCGCUGUUCUGACGGUACCCAAAGAAUAAGCACCGGCUAACUUCGUG
RNAcentral lists this ribosomal RNA (492 nucleotides) under uncultured bacterium. Its description in RNAcentral is "partial 16S ribosomal RNA". It matches the Rfam family "Bacterial small subunit ribosomal RNA", at positions 29 to 507 of the family's 1533-position model. The record is from RNAcentral.